GCCUGAGUGGCUCAGUGGUUGAGUGUCUGCCUUUGGCUCAGGUCAUGAUCCCAAGGUCCUGGGAUGGAGUCCCUGAUCAGGCU
This 83-nucleotide transfer RNA is filed under the name Canis lupus familiaris (dog). It matches the Rfam family "tRNA". Rfam says of the family: Transfer RNA (tRNA) molecules are approximately 80 nucleotides in length. The record is from Rfam by way of RNAcentral. RNAcentral also lists the same sequence under 1 other name. Lineage: Eukaryota; Metazoa; Chordata; Mammalia; Carnivora; Canidae.